UACGUAGGGUGCGAGCGUUAAUCGGAAUUACUGGGCGUAAAGCGUGCGCAGGCGGUUCGUUGUGUCGGUGGUGAAAGCCCCGGGCUUAACCCUGGGAAUGGCCGUUGAAACUGGCGAACUGGAGUGUGGCAGAGGGGGGUGGAAUCCGCGUGUAGCAGUGAAAUGCGUAGAGAUGCGGAGGAACACCGAUGGCGAAGGCAGCCCCCUGGGCUAACACUGACGCUCAGCACGAAAGCGUGGGGAGCAAACAGG
Molecule: ribosomal RNA, 252 nt
Filed under: uncultured bacterium
Lineage: Bacteria
Description: partial 16S ribosomal RNA
Rfam family: Bacterial small subunit ribosomal RNA
Source: RNAcentral